This is a non-coding RNA of Eurypyga helias (sunbittern), 363 nucleotides long. The record is from the annotation of a RefSeq genome assembly. NCBI's taxonomy places the organism in Eukaryota, Metazoa, Chordata, Aves, Eurypygiformes, Eurypygidae.
AUGUUGCUCUUCCCAGUCCUUCUUGCAGCUUCUUUUUGGCCCCGUGGAGCCGCGCAGGCGGUGCCGGUGCAAACCCCGGAGCUGCGGAGGCAGCUCGUGGGCAGCUCUGCCAGCAUGGCGUGCAGCAUGAGCACCGCAGCCGUCGUGCACUGGUACAAGCAGCUUCCCGGAGAUCCGCUGAAGAGGAUACUGCACACGUCGGGACAGUCACCUGUGUUUGAUGACAGCAACGACAGAAGGAGAUUUCAGGUUCGGAAACAUCCUUCUGAGCUCAUCUACGGUCUCACGAUAGAUUAUUUAACCCCGAGGGAUUCUGGCACUUACUACUGCGCAUACUGGCCUACCCGGGUAUCACGGUGCUAG